UGUUAGAAUACCGUAGGGUAUACCUGAGCUAUAACCACCUGUGGGGGUACCACAGGCAUGUCCUCUUGGCACCGAGGCAUGACACCUUCCGUGGCGGUGUGAUCAGUCCACGGCGUCUCCGUUUUGUGCUCCGGUGGGAGUUGGCCAUUUGGUGUUUUGUUGUGGGAGGCGUAUGGGUCGACCCUAGUUUCUGUUCUGUUCUGUUCUGCGGAUUGGUGAUGUUUGUGCCAAACACACCUUCCGAUUUUGCAUGCAUCUGAAUUGCGCAGUCCGAUGUGUGAUUGCCUGUGUGGCAUUAUUUUGAUUGCCUGUGUGACAUUAUUUGACUUGCCUGUGUGGCAAGGUAUAUUACUAUUUAUUCUGAGCUCGGUAUGAAAU
RNAcentral lists this long non-coding RNA (378 nucleotides) under Panax ginseng (ginseng). RNAcentral's name for it is "long non-coding RNA (PGIN_LNC012590)". Lineage: Eukaryota; Viridiplantae; Streptophyta; Magnoliopsida; Apiales; Araliaceae. The record is from RNAcentral.